RNAcentral lists this small RNA (176 nucleotides) under Helianthus annuus (common sunflower). RNAcentral describes it as "hypothetical non coding rna". The record is from RNAcentral. Lineage: Eukaryota; Viridiplantae; Streptophyta; Magnoliopsida; Asterales; Asteraceae.
GACGACGACGACGACGUGGACGAGGACGACGAGACGACGACGACGACGAGACGACGAGGACGAGGACGAGGACGAGGACGAGGACGAGGACGAGGACGAGGACGGGGAAGAGGACGAGGACGAGGACGAGGACGAGGACGAGGACGAGGACGAGGACGAGGACGAGGACGAGGACG